Molecule: ribosomal RNA, 486 nt
Filed under: Flavobacteriaceae bacterium JJ-177
Lineage: Bacteria; Pseudomonadati; Bacteroidota; Flavobacteriia; Flavobacteriales; Flavobacteriaceae
Description: bacterial SSU rRNA
Rfam family: Bacterial small subunit ribosomal RNA
Source: RNAcentral
AGAGUUUGAUUCAUGGCUCAGGAUGAACGCUAGCGGCAGGCUUAACACAUGCAAGUCGAGGGGUAUUUAUUUUCGGAUAGAGAGACCGGCGCACGGGUGCGUAACGCGUAUGCAAUCUACCUUUUACAGAGGGAUAGCCCAGAGAAAUUUGGAUUAAUACCUCAUAGUAUAAUGACUCGGCAUCGAGAUAUUAUUAAAGUCACAACGGUAAAAGAUGAGCAUGCGUCCCAUUAGCUAGUUGGUAAGGUAACGGCUUACCAAGGCUACGAUGGGUAGGGGUCCUGAGAGGGAGAUCCCCCACACUGGUACUGAGACACGGACCAGACUCCUACGGGAGGCAGCAGUGAGGAAUAUUGGACAAUGGGCGCAAGCCUGAUCCAGCCAUGCCGCGUGCAGGAUGACGGUCCUAUGGAUUGUAAACUGCUUUUAUACGAGAAGAAACACUGCUUCGUGAAGCAGCUGACGGUAUCGUAGAAUAAGAUCGGC